Long non-coding RNA from Bubalus bubalis (water buffalo), 4677 nucleotides. RefSeq lists it as uncharacterized. The transcript has 2 exons. The record is from RefSeq and is a predicted model, not a curated record. Lineage: Eukaryota; Metazoa; Chordata; Mammalia; Artiodactyla; Bovidae.
CCUCGUCUCCUCUCUUCUCCACGUGAAACGCCCACCACUUUCCUCCUGCAUCUUAGCCGCCUUUCUAUUUGUCCAACUUCCAGGGCACAUGCAUUCCAAACCCUGACUCUGAACUGACUUAACUCAGGUUUUGCAAUGCUGCCUAAAUUUAGCCUGCAGUAUAUUUAGUAUGUUAUUCUUAGAGAAACCUUUAAAGUCUUCAGCAGCACACGGCAACUGCGGUCACUCGAAGCCCUUUGAUCCUGCCCUGUUACAGUCCUCCAGUGACUCCUGCACACCAGCUCUCUGGCAGCACCUUUGCCAGAAACCCCAGCAGGGAGGAAGCCUCUCAGCCCAACGACCCACCCAUGAGGUAAACGGGGGAGAGGGGAACGUCUCCAACAGCGCUGGAGAUGGGAGAAGCCCCACGGGGGAGCUGCUCCAACCACCCCAACGGACAGACUGAAGGAAACAGAUGGAAGGAGAAAGCUCUGGGCUGAAGAAGGCCAAGUGCCGUGGACCGACUUCGCGGGGUGGACUCGAGACUGCUGAGGGACAGCAGCACCCGCAAGAGAACCUUAGUGGGACGACGGGGAGUCUCAAAACCGACCGGACGCUGCUGAUGCUCAGGGAUGAGUGCGGCAAGGUGCUGGUCUCUGGACACGAGGCAGGGCUUGGGAGGGCAGUGGGAGCCCUUGCUGCGGGGGCUGCCCUGGGGCGCAUGCACGCGUCACAGGCUCUGGGCGUGGGGGACUCACUCACCAGCUGGCCAAUCCGGUCCAAGUUAUCCAGGAAGUACUUCACUGAUUCGCCCUGUCAUGGAGAAAAAAAAAGUCACGACUCAGUCUGGACUGAGGACCCUGAGGUGGUAAAUGGGAGAACUCAAUCCGGUGGCGUGAGAGCUGUCCUGCCUGCGUGUAAACAGGAAGGCCAAGUGAAAAGGCUAAUGGGGGUAUGUGUUUUUCAAAAUAAAAAAGAAAUUAAAAGCUUUUUAAAAAUGCAGUUUCUCUAGCUUUGACGCCCAGGUUUAAAUUCAGACUGUGCUUUUCAAAGCAACGGUGAGAACGUGGACUCUGACCAGGUGGGUCCCUCCCUUUGCAGCCGGGGAGCCGGCUGUGAGACUCGGCUCCUGUGGGUGGUUUCGCUCCCGGCAGGGCCGGCCGCUGCGCUCCAGGCUCAUCUGUUAUUUGAGAAGCAGACACGACAGAACAAGUUCCAGCUUCUGGAAACAAGCAGAAGCUCUGUCAUGACGUCACGUUAGCACGACCUGACUUACGGUGCAGGACCAGGAGACUCUGGCCUGGACUUCCGUGGACUGAUGGCCAGUCUUUCUCCAGCCCCUGGACAUUCUCUGGACUGCACGUCGACACACACAGAUCGCUAGCUAGAAGUGACCAUGCCCAUCGGUCACUGUCCUGUUCUCAGAGGAGUGAGUCAGCUGACACAGCGGCUAUCAUGGAGCCUAAGAAAGGUUUAGAGGAUCUUCAGUGUCGAUUAAAUGAAGCAAACAGAGGAAGUGGUGAGUGAACGGGCAAAGCUCCCCUUAUAAAGGGGGACGUUGACACUUAAUUACACCCCGUGUGCCCAGAGGACUCAACUUCCUGCAGGACUCAGUCUAAGCCCCACUGUGCAGACAGGGCCCAGCGAGGAUGGCGGGGGCGGGGGGCCCUCCCGGGGAAGCCACGCCAGCCACGCACUCACGACAGUGGAAAGUGGCUGCGCAUGCGCGCGCACACGUGCGCACACGUGCACAGCAGGGACGUCCUGGACCCGGAAGGAGGAAGCUCUUCGGAAAGGUUCCAGAUGAGAGCGUGGGCUCGUAUGACGCCAUGUGGACGCCCCUGGGCCCUCCCCGCUACGGGUCUCCGACGUGAAAGGAAGGAGUGGGGGUGGACUUCCUCUAGUGAAGAACCCACCUCUGGUUUCGAGGAGGCCUGUGGCCACCGUGGAGGAGAGCACGGGUUUAAGGGAUGGACGCUUCUCCCGGGACACCACAGACCGGAGCUCGAGGCACACUCGGCCCCUGGCAUCGCAGCUGCUGGGGCACAGGCGGGCUCUGCCCGGAAGCCAGGGUGGGCACCCACGCGCCUGCCCCGCCCCGCCAUCCCUUCUGCCAAGCGAGCUCCUGUUCCGUCAGCACGUCCCGCCUGCUCCCGGGCCGACAGGAAACAGCCCGGGAGUGACAGCGGCCGGCCAGCGCACCUGGUCCAGGGCUCCUUCCUCCCUGAAACCCCCAUCUCUCUCCUCCUGCCACUGCUCACCUGGGGCCUUCGGGGCGCGACGAGAGCUCCCCGACCCGACCCGCAUCCGCCGGGGGAGGCAGGCAGGGCGGCUCAUAGUGCAGCCGCUCCUGCUUGAGUCAGGCUGGGGUGGGGGUGUCUCGGCCUGCCUGGCCACAAAGCGUCCUGGCUACACCGAUGCCCUGGGGAUGCUGUGAUGUGGGUGCAAGGGCGGAACCCCAACACAGGGGUGCGAUGUGGAAAUGCCCCGCGCUCAUGAGUAAGCAUGUACUAAGCAAGGAAGGGAAUCACUCCCCUAGUCUGACUUUGAACAUUUCCAACUACUGAGCUUGAAAUCAGGGUCAUCUCGAUGCACCUUAUGACACAACAAACGCUAAUAUAAAAGGACCUUACGGCUUCCUUCUCCACCAGGAUGGUCGGCUUGAUCAUCUUGGUGGCUUGUCUCACUGCCUCAAAGCGGGUGGCUGUUCACGUCUGUGUUAUCUUUAUUACCGCGGCCGGAACGGACCAGGAUGAGCGCCUUGAUGGGAACACAGUGUUACAUGAGGCAGGGAGACACCAGGUCUUCUGCGGAUGGCUGCUGGAGUAAUGUGAGCUAACAGAAAGGAAUACAUGGAAAAUGGGCUUUCUACAACCCCUCUGUCUGCCGUGAUCUGAUCCAGUCUCCCACGCUUGGCUGAGUUCUGGUCUUUUCUGUCAGUGCCACAGGGGAGGUGUGUGCCUGGAGGAGGGCCCACUGGGGUCAAGAACUGCUGGCAGAGGCUGUGCAGGGCACAGGGCAAGGCCGGGUGGGGUGGGUUAGGCGGGGCACAGGCGUGGAGGCAGAGGCGGUGGGAGUGGUUACCUAGGAAACAGCCUCUAACAUCCACUCUGGGCCAGGCAGCUCUCCAGUUCCCAGUCCUCUGUCCACAUGCGAGUUGUCCCUAUGUUCCUGUACUCAACGGAAUUAAUUUUUAAAUUCUUAACACAGGGCUUGUCAAUGGCGAGUGAGAGGACUUGAAAAUCUAGUUCAUUCAUUUAGAUAUAAAUUGGAAAGACAAAAUUUUAAAACAGCUGAAUAUUUAAAAAACAACUCCAUGUGACUGCAGCCUGCCAGGCUCCUCUGUCCACGGGGCUCUCCAGGCCAAAAUGCUGGAGUGGGUGGCCAUGCCCUCUUCCAGGGGAUCUUCCUGACCGAGGGAUGGAACCUGUGUCUCAUGGCUCCUGCACUGGCAGGCGGGUUCUUUACCACUGAGCCGCCUGGGGAUGAACCAUAAAAUCAACUAUUCUCAAGGUCAGAGUUUCAUUCCUGUUACUUAACAGACACUGAACUUAAGACUUAACUUCCAUUUACUGGAACACGGCUGGCUAUCGCCUUUCUACAUUUUGGGGAAUUCACAUCAGGAUUGUAGCCUCUGCAACGCAGCAGCCAGAACCCAAAUUCCGAGUCUCACUGGGGCCACGAGACACGCAUGUGAAGCAGAUGCGAGCAGAGCAGGAAGAACACCCAGACGCCCGUCACCUGCGCUCUGCCAGCCGCGGUGCGCCUUGCGCUCCUCCUUCCAGUUCAGGGCUGACCCUCGAACAACGUGGGUUUGAACGGCACAGGUCCACCGACACGCACUUUUUUUUCUUUUAAAUAAACACAUACCGCAUGCUCUGAGGUCAGCCGACUGUAAAGUUACGCUUGGAUCUUCGACUUCGUGGGGUCAGCGCCCCAAACCCCAAGCUGUUCAAGGGUUAAUUGCAUAUACUUCUUUUUAAAAACCACUUGAGAGGAAGUUGUCCAUUUACCCCUGAAAGCUUCAGCGGACAGGCCCCAGGCCCCGGGCCUCCUGCGUCCAUGCCCAUGGCGACCCUGGGAGAGGUGAUGCGGGCGUGGUGCUCUCACCAGCAGCACGGCCUCCUCAGCACCGGCUUCCGCCUGGAAUCGAGGGCUGCAUGUAGCUGUCCGCGCUCUGCUGCCUCCUUUAAUCUGAAACACUGAUCUUUCUGAAGAACGCCGCGGCUCCCCCCAGCUGGCAGCUUUUGUGACGUUUCCAAUCUUUACCAAAAUGGUUUUCCAAUCAGUACAGCAACCACUGGUCUGCGGUGGACCUUCUCUACUGUAAACGAGAGUCCUCCCUUCUCCCCUGUUUAUCUGUUAUCCACAUGGACUCACAGAUGCUUGUAUUUCUCAAGGUUUGCUAUUAGCAAAGUCAUAGGACUGUUUGAAUUUGCAGAUCAUAGAACUGCAUACAAAAUACUCAAGAAUCUAUAAAAAAAGCUAACAAUUGAGUCAAGAAGUGAGUUCAGAAAAUUCACAAGAUACAAGCAAAAUGCCUGGAGAAACCAGCUGCUGUGUGUACCGACAGUCUGUCUCGUUACUCCUGAGCAGUGGCGUCUGGUACGGAUGAGCCAUGGCUUAUUUACACUCACUGAUCUGGAGACAUUUCGGUGGUUUCCACAUUUUGGGAAUUACAAAUGAAGACGCUAUUGA